CAGCAUCCGGCCCCACCACCCCUGUGCAGAACAAACCUCUCUCCCUCCAUCCAUCGUUGGGCUCGUGGGCAGGCAUAGGAAGGGUAAAGGGUGCUCACUUGGGGCUGCCAAGGUCCCACCAACCAGCAAAGAGAAUGGCAUGUUUGUCACAAUGGGCUUUGGGGCCAGAUUCCGAGCCCAUUCUCUGUCUCCUACUCCUGCUCAACCCAGAGAUUUUUUUCCCCCAGAGAUGAUCUUCUGGCGAAGGGGGGUACAUAAUGUCAAAGGGACUCUGAUCACUCUUUAAUCACUCACAGUAACAACAGGAGAUACUGCUAAUUUGAAAGAAGAAAGGAAAGCUGGAGCAAAGAGCGUGGUCUAUCCCCAUCCGGCCCAGCACUUCAUUCUGAGCAAUCUGAUCUGGGAUCUUCCGAUUCCUUCACAAGAGCCUGCCACAUCCUGGCAGCCAGACUGCAAGUCUCGUGGGAGCCUGGACCCUGCAUGCCCACAGUGCACAGCAUGCAGCACGUACCACGCACAUGCACGGAGCACUGUUCCAGCCCAGAAUGUUAAACUGCACCAAAUCCCAUAGGCGGACACAAGGAAGGCACAAAACAAAUGCACCACAAAUUCUGGCUUGUUGGAGAUUGGGAACCAGCGUGAGAAAGGGGGUGUGUGAAAGAGGUUUUGACUCAGCGGUGCUCUCAUGCUGUUAUCCCUGCCAAGAACACUUGUCCUGGCUCUCCAGCUCCAGCUCAUCCUUCAGGUCUUCAGCUUAGGCCCUCCACCCUCUGAGCAGGUCACCCCUCUCCCAUCUCAAUCCACAUGGUUUAAGGAGAGCUGAUCCCAUGCCAGCUUCCGGGAUGCACCCAGAACCCAGACCUGACACCAUGAAUUUCAGCCUGACGGCCAAUGUGGCUGCUCCUAGGUCAGUACCAAGGGACAGGUCAUCCUGAAGUCAGCAAAGCUGAGCCUGUGAGCCUCUCACUUGCACGGACCCUAGCAACGUGUUCACAUGGUCAUUCUGUUUCCAGACACUCUCAAAAUGAGCUAUUUUAACCUCAAUUGGUUACAAACACUGUCUCUUUCCAUUCUGACUUCCAUAGGCCCUCUUGUGUCAUGUGAUGUCAGAGUGAACACAGGUAUUUCUGGAAUUGAGCUAAGGGAAAAGAUGAGUUGGCAGUAUAGUUAUUUAUGUUUAGCAGAAUAGACCUAUCAUCUGGUUCAAAGUUAUAAAAGAAUUACAUAAAAAUAGAUUAAUGUUUAGCAAAAUAGACCUAUCAUCUGGUUCAAAGUUAUAAAAGAAUGGCAUGAAACAUAGGUUAAUAAAAGGAUCCUAUAUUCUUCUUAAAGAUGGCCCCAAAACUGGAUCAACUUCAGGUGCCACACAACCUAGAUCCACCUGGGCCAGUAAAGUGAGACCCAAACUUUUGCAAGAAGUAGUGAGACUUUGCAUGGGGGGCAGGAGGCUCUUUCACUUGAGGUGGCUGAGCUCAUAGGAUGUGAGCGCCCAGAGCUGGGUAGCCACCCUUGCCAUCUUAGUGGGAGAGACCAACACAGGGACAUAGGGAGAGGUGACGGAGAGUCAGGGAGAGAGGGAGGGAGCAGGAGAGGAAGCGAAUGUGUGUGUGGAUGACGUGGUUUGAGCUCCUGGAUCCAGCUGGCCCCUUUUAGGCAAGAUCCACCCUAGAUUUUUCAAUAUUGUCAGCCAAAGCUUCAGUGAAUUUCUAUUGAGUGUCUAAAAGAACCUAAAGCAUCCCAACUUAACUCUGAUCCCCUGCUUAUCAGGAAAAAACCACCACCACCAAAAGAGACAUGCAGGAUUCUCCAAAGCAGUUUCUGGCACUUUCCACUGCUGUUCCCUGACCUCCAGACUCCGUGUCCAACUGUCUGUCUACUUGGCAGCUCUACUUGGAUGUCCAACAGCCAUCUGGAGCCCACCAUGCCCCCCAACAAGCAGCCCUCACCAUCACCUGGCCAAAGCUCCGCCUCAGAGGUGACCCCACCCUGGGGCACCUGGGUGGCUCAGUGAUUGAGCAUCUGCCUUCGGCUCAGGGUGUGAUCCUGGGGUCCUGGGAUGGAGUCCCACAUGGGGCUCCCUGCAGGGAGCCUGCUUCUCUCUCUGCCUGUG
Canis lupus familiaris (dog) is the source of this 2110-nucleotide long non-coding RNA. RefSeq lists it as uncharacterized. The transcript is spliced from 5 exons. The record is from RefSeq and is a predicted model, not a curated record. Lineage: Eukaryota; Metazoa; Chordata; Mammalia; Carnivora; Canidae.